ACCAAGUUCCUCCGACGAGGAACGCGCGGACGAGGGAGCAGUACCCGCACGGACAAGACUGACUCAGA
RNAcentral lists this non-coding RNA (68 nucleotides) under Oerskovia sp. Root918. RNAcentral also lists the same sequence under 1 other name. Lineage: Bacteria; Bacillati; Actinomycetota; Actinomycetes; Micrococcales; Cellulomonadaceae. The record is from RNAcentral.